This 528-nucleotide ribosomal RNA is filed under the name uncultured Glomus. Its description in RNAcentral is "bacterial SSU rRNA". It matches the Rfam family "Eukaryotic small subunit ribosomal RNA", at positions 569 to 1113 of the family's 1831-position model. The record is from RNAcentral. Lineage: Eukaryota; Fungi; Glomeromycota; Glomeromycetes; Glomerales; Glomeraceae.
AGCAGCCGCGGUAAUUCCAGCUCCAAUAGCGUAUAUUAAAGUUGUUGCAGUUAAAAAAGCUCGUAGUUGAAUUUCGGGAUCGAUUUACUGGUCGUGCCUAUGGUACGUACUGGUUUUGUUUUCCGAAGAGCCGCGAUGUCAUUAAUUUGGUGUUGCGGGGAAUCGGGACUGUUACUUUGAAAAAAUUAGAGUGUUUAAAGCAGACUAUCGUCUGAAUACAUUAGCAUGGAGUAAUGAAAUAGGACGGACUGAUUCUAUUUCGUUGGUUUCUAGGAUCACCGUAAUGAUUAAUAGGGAUAGUUGGGGGCAUUAGUAUUCAAUUGUCAGAGGUGAAAUUCUUGGAUUUAUUGAAGACUAACUACUGCGAAAGCAUUUGCCAAGGAUGUUUCAUUAAUCAAGAACGAAAGUUAGGGGAUCGAAGACGAUCAGAUACCGUCGUAGUCUUAACCAUAAACUAUGCCGACUAGGGAUCGGACGAAGUUAAUUUAUAAUGACGCGUUCGGCGCCUACGGGAAACCUGAGCGGGCU